RNAcentral lists this ribosomal RNA (513 nucleotides) under uncultured bacterium. RNAcentral's name for it is "partial 16S ribosomal RNA". It matches the Rfam family "Bacterial small subunit ribosomal RNA", at positions 28 to 523 of the family's 1533-position model. The record is from RNAcentral.
GACGAACGCUGGCGGCAUGCCUAAUACAUGCAAGUCGAGCGAACAGAUGAAGUGCUUGCACUUCUGACGUUAGCGGCGAACGGGUGAGUAACACGUAAGGAAUCUACCUAUAAGCGGGGGAUAACAUUCGGAAACGGGUGCUAAUACCGCAUAAUAUCUUCUUCCGCAUGGAAGAAGAUUGAAAGACGGCUCUGCUGUCACUUAUAGAUGACCUUGCGGUGCAUUCGUUAGUUGGUGGGGUAACGGCCUACCAAGACGAUGAUGCAUAGCCGACCUUAGAGGGUGAUCUGCCACAUUGGGACUGAGACACGGCCCAAACUCCUACGGGAGGCAGCAGUAGGGAAUCUUCCGCAAUGGGCGAAAGCCUGACGGAGCAAUGCCGCGUGAGUGAAGAAGGCCUUCGGGUCGUAAAACUCUGUUAUAAGAGAAGAACAAAUUGUAGAGUAACUGCUACAGUCUUGACGGUAUCUUAUCAGAAAGCCACGGCUAACUAUGUGCCAGCCGCCGCCGUAA